Molecule: long non-coding RNA, 1084 nt
Filed under: Mytilus galloprovincialis (Mediterranean mussel)
Lineage: Eukaryota; Metazoa; Mollusca; Bivalvia; Mytilida; Mytilidae
Source: RNAcentral
CGUUGUAAAAGUGUAACGGGUCACAAACUGCCUAGUCCGAGAGAGAUAAGUAAUAGUGUACACGACGAUGGGAUGACAGCUCCUAGGGAUCAUAUUUAUAAUAUUAACUUGAUACAUUUUGGUUUACUAGUCGCUUUUGAUGUCAUAUCAACACCAUUACUUCAAGGUAGGACCAGGUCAUUUAGACAUCACAAAAGAAGGUGCCUGUGAAUUCGCCAAUAAAAAAAAUAUCAUAAUAGAUAUAAGAAAAUGUGGUAUGAGUGCCAAUGAGACAACUAUCUAUCCAAGUUACAGUUUGUAAAGUAAACCAUUAUAGGGCAACACAGAGCCUAGACUUACAACGAACAGCAAGCUAUAAAGAGCCCCAAAAAUUACUAGAGUAAAACAAUUCAAACGGGAAAACCGACGAUUUAAUCUAUUAGAAAAAGAGAAACGGGAAACACUUAUGACCACAUAAAAACAUACUGCACAUCAGAUUCCUAACUUAUAUAUCUACCAAAUCAUUUCCUGUAAAUGUUAGGACAUCGGUUUGAAUAAUUUGAAUGUUGUCUGAUAUGUUAUCAUUAGAAAUUAAGCGCAAACAGCAAAACUGCCAAAAUAGUAACAUUUCUUGCCAUUUUCAUUUGGAAAUAAGCAAUAUCAUUGCAUAAAAAUGUAAAUGUUAUAUUUAUUUACGCGAAAGACAUGUGAAAGAUACCGUGGGUUUAUUCAAAAACAGGUUCCUCAGAAAGGUUAGCAGAUCAUGAUCCUUAUUUGACAAACUUUAAAUAACUAUCGUCUCCACUAGAUACUUAGAUACCCAAACACGGGUGAAGCCAGCAUAGCAGAAGACACGUUUGUGGUUUACCUUUACGAGUAUCUUUGAAUUGGACAUAGGUAAACGACUGAUAAUUUAACACGCAAAUUGUUUGAAGUCUUUUCUUCAAAUUUAAGAAGAUAUAUAUAUAAAAAAAAAACAUAUGGACAAAACAACAAAACCAUAGUUUUGCAUGAUUUUUUCAUUUUACUUUUAUUUUUAUUUUUCAUUCUGAUCAGACGGUAAUGAAAAUAUUGUAUGCUGUAUGGGGGACAAGCCAGUCAAAAG